GAGUGCGUAGCUCAGCUGGUAGAGCACCUGACUUUUAAUCAGGUGGCCCUGGGUUCGAAUCCCAGCGCGCUCACCA
Molecule: transfer RNA, 76 nt
Filed under: Alphaproteobacteria bacterium
Lineage: Bacteria; Pseudomonadati; Pseudomonadota; Alphaproteobacteria
Description: tRNA-Lys
Rfam family: tRNA
About the family: Transfer RNA (tRNA) molecules are approximately 80 nucleotides in length.
Source: RNAcentral